Molecule: transfer RNA, 81 nt
Filed under: Rhipicephalus microplus (southern cattle tick)
Lineage: Eukaryota; Metazoa; Arthropoda; Arachnida; Ixodida; Ixodidae
Description: tRNA-Lys
Rfam family: tRNA (bases 11-78)
About the family: Transfer RNA (tRNA) molecules are approximately 80 nucleotides in length. Their secondary structure includes four short double-helical elements and three loops (D, anti-codon, and T loops).
Source: RNAcentral
GACUGUCCUCCCGGCUAGCUCAGUCGGUAGAGCAUGAGACUUUUAUUCUCAGGGUCGUGGGUUUAAGCCCCACGUUGGUCG